RNAcentral lists this ribosomal RNA (774 nucleotides) under uncultured Neocallimastigales. Its description in RNAcentral is "partial large subunit ribosomal RNA". It matches the Rfam family "Eukaryotic large subunit ribosomal RNA", at positions 18 to 656 of the family's 3401-position model. Lineage: Eukaryota; Fungi; Neocallimastigomycota; Neocallimastigomycetes; Neocallimastigales. The record is from RNAcentral.
UCAGACGAUGCGUCAUGCAUAUCAAUAAGCGGAGGAAAAGAAACUAACAAGGAUUCCCCUAGUAACGGCGAGUGAAGCGGGAAGAGCUCAAAUUUGAAAUCUUAAAGGGUUUCCCUUUACGAAUUGUAGUUUAAAGAAGUGUUUUCUGUUGAGGUUUUGGUAAAAGUUCUUUGGAAUAGGACAUCAUAGAGGGUGAGAAUCCCGUAUUUGACCUUUACUUUCAACUUUGUGAUACACUUUCAAAGAGUCGGAUUGUUUGGGAAUGCAGUCCAAAAUGGGUGGUAAAUUUCAUCUAAAGCUAAAUAUUGGCGAGAGACCGAUAGCGAACAAGUACCGUGAGGGAAAGAUGAAAAGAACUUUGAAAAGAGAGUUAAACAGUACGUGAAAUUGUCAAAAGGGAAGCGUUUGACACCAGUGUUGUCUUUCUGAAAAUCAAUUAAAGAACUGUUUAUGCUAAGCUGUUUAGACUUUAUCAGCUAUCUGUUUAGUUUUAGGCUUUUCUUUAAUGCACUUUUCAGUUAACAAGUCAACAUCAAUUUCUUUUGCUGUAAAAAAGCUUGAGGAAGGUGGCUUGAGAUUCGUCUUAAGUGUUUAUAGCCUCUUGCCUAUGCAGUCGGAGAGAUUGAGGUCUGCAGCGUAGAUCCUUCGGGGCUAAAUGCAUUUGUGCUAAGUUAUAGCAUUUUAUAGACAACUUGUUGACUAUGAUUUGUCUUGUAGCUUACUCGCUUAUGUUAUUUUACCUACGCUUAGGAUGUUGACACACGCGCGUGCUCG